This 350-nucleotide ribosomal RNA is filed under the name Listeria monocytogenes. RNAcentral describes it as "bacterial LSU rRNA". It matches the Rfam family "Bacterial large subunit ribosomal RNA", at positions 169 to 513 of the family's 2925-position model. Lineage: Bacteria; Bacillati; Bacillota; Bacilli; Caryophanales; Listeriaceae. The record is from RNAcentral.
CGUGAGGAAGGCAGACCCAGGGAACUGAAACAUCUAAGUACCUGGAGGAAGAGAAAGAAAAAUCGAUUUCCUGAGUAGCGGCGAGCGAAACGGAAAGAGCCCAAACCAAGAAGCUUGCUUCUUGGGGUUGUAGGACACUCUAUACGGAGUUACAAAAGAAAGUUAUAAAUGAAGCGGUCUGGAAAGGCCCGCCAAAGACGGUAACAGCCCGGUAGUUGAAAUAGCUUUCCCUCCAGAGUGGAUCCUGAGUACGGCGGAACACGUGAAAUUCCGUCGGAAUCCGGGAGGACCAUCUCCCAAGGCUAAAUACUCCCUAGUGACCGAUAGUGAACCAGUACCGUGAGGGAAAG